CCUACGGGUGGCAGCAGUGGGGAAUAUUGCACAAUGGGCGCAAGCCUGAUGCAGCCAUGCCGCGUGUGUGAAGAAGGCCUUCGGGUUGUAAAGCACUUUCAGCGGGGAGGAAGGCGUUAAGGUUAAUAACCUUGGCGAUUGACGUUACCCGCAGAAGAAGCACCGGCUAACUCCGUGCCAGCAGCCGCGGUAAUACGGAGGGUGCAAGCGUUAAUCGGAAUUACUGGGCGUAAAGCGCACGCAGGCGGUCUGUCAAGUCGGAUGUGAAAUCCCCGGGCUCAACCUGGGAACUGCAUUCGAAACUGGCAGGCUAGAGUCUUGUAGAGGGGGGUAGAAUUCCAGGUGUAGCGGUGAAAUGCGUAGAGAUCUGGAGGAAUACCGGCGGCGAAGGCGGCCCCCUGGACAAAGACUGACGCUCAGGUGCGAAAGCGUGGGGAGCAAACAGGAUUAGAUACCCGGGUAGUC
This 465-nucleotide ribosomal RNA is filed under the name uncultured Klebsiella sp. RNAcentral describes it as "bacterial SSU rRNA". It matches the Rfam family "Bacterial small subunit ribosomal RNA", at positions 338 to 795 of the family's 1533-position model. Lineage: Bacteria; Pseudomonadati; Pseudomonadota; Gammaproteobacteria; Enterobacterales; Enterobacteriaceae. The record is from RNAcentral.